GGUAAAGCACCACGCUGACUUUGUAAAUCCCUUCAUGAACCCAACUAUCUGGGCUCCUUACUGCUUUGUGGGGGUCCGUGACAUCUUCUCCUGGUUCUGAGGAGGACACACAAGCCUGGGGACACUGGGAUGCAGCUGACGAAGCUGACCUGGGAAAACCACCCUCUUCUUCACUCACAUGGCCCGUGGGAAUGGCCACUUACUCUAAGGCAGUGGUUCUCAACCUUGCUAACGCUGCGACCCUGUAAUACAGUGACCCCUGGAAAAGGGUUGUUCAACAUCCGCCCCCGAAGCGGCCAUGCCCUACAGGAUGAGAACUGCUGCUCUAGGGGCAUAAAGAAGCUCACAGAUACGCUUCUGAGGAAAGCACUUUGCUCCUCCCUCCAGAAACCACUGCAGACCUUCAAGGGAAUGUGGGGAGGUAGACGAACAAGAACUGAUAGCCAGACACCAUUCUAGACCUUCCAUUCCCGUUAACUGUUAAAACCCCAGAUACCAGUGAUGAAGUGCCUGGAAAUGCCUCGUGCGCACAGCUUAGUGUCAAGUAAGCACUGAGAAGAAACAGGCAAGCUACAUAAACACCAGCCCGAAGGAGAACGUGCUGAGAACAGAUUAGCUAUUCAGUCAGAGGGACUUGGACGACACCUCUCAUGCAGGAUUGAUCGCGCCUUGAGAGAGCUGGGUCUGUAAUGGCAGCUGAGGCUGUCGGGAUGCCACCGUGGUCAUUAAAACAGCUUCUCUGUGCAUUA
Long non-coding RNA from Peromyscus leucopus (white-footed mouse), 749 nucleotides. RefSeq lists it as uncharacterized. The record is from RefSeq and is a predicted model, not a curated record. NCBI's taxonomy places the organism in Eukaryota, Metazoa, Chordata, Mammalia, Rodentia, Cricetidae. The transcript is spliced from 2 exons.